GUUUUGUAUUGGAAUGAUAGAAAUUUAAACACUUUUUAAAGUAUCAAUUGGAGGGCAAGUCUGGUGCCAGCAGCCGCGGUAAUUCCAGCUCCAAUAGCGUAUAUUAAAAUUGUUGCAGUUAAAAAGCUCGUAGUUGAAUUUCUGCUAAAAAUAACCGGUCUGCUUUAAAUAAAAGUGGUAUCUUGGUGUGUUUUUAGCAAUAAUGUCCUUUGAAAUGUUUUUUACUUCAUUGUAAUAGAUUAUAUUAAGGAUUUUUACUUUGAGAAAAUUAGAGUGUUUCUAGCAGGCUAACGCUUUGAAUACUGCAGCAUGGAAUAAUAAAAUAGGAUUUUGGUUCUACAUUAUUGGUUUUAAGAGCUAAAUUAAUGAUUGAUAGGGACAGUUGGGGGCAUUUGUAUUUAACUGUCAGAGGUGAAAUUCUUAGA
This 425-nucleotide ribosomal RNA is filed under the name Hepatozoon sp. RNAcentral's name for it is "SSU rRNA". It matches the Rfam family "Eukaryotic small subunit ribosomal RNA", at positions 501 to 924 of the family's 1831-position model. Lineage: Eukaryota; Apicomplexa; Hepatozoidae. The record is from RNAcentral.